Long non-coding RNA from Gallus gallus (chicken), 5364 nucleotides. NCBI's taxonomy places the organism in Eukaryota, Metazoa, Chordata, Aves, Galliformes, Phasianidae. The record is from Ensembl.
AGCGUGUUGAAACUAAUUCUGAAAAUAAAGUCUCCUGAAGCAGGCAUUUCUUUUUGUAAAGCUUAUUUCACACUUCACAGGUCACUUCACCUGAAACCACCAUUUUCACACCUUCUGUAUGGUUGUUAUUCACAGACAACAGUUACAGGACCAGGCUAUAGGUGAAUUGCAAAGCUUGGGUGUGGUCUCAUGCUCACAAAGCUGAGUACACAUCCAGUCACGUUAACUCAGAUUAAAGGUCAGUCAGAUUAAAGGACGUGGAUUUAUAGUUCCGUUUCUAAUACAAAGAUUUUGGCAAGUUUUGGGGAAUUUGGGAAUUCAUUUGCUAAUAUUUUUAGUCUAAAAUAACUCGACCUGUGUUUGUAUCUUCUCAAAGGAAAUUGUAAAUAUUGUUUUGUUAAAUACAGGGCUAUUAGACUGCUCAUUUUCCUAUGUUAUUUCUGUUCUUAUCCUACCAGAAUUUUCUGUUUGAAAGAAUCUCCACUUUUCUGCCACCAAAUUGUCAUGGGGCUCAUUACCUCCGAUGAGAUGAGCAAUGGUGUGGAAUAACUAAACUGACCUCCUCAAAGAAACUUGCCUGUCAGGGAUAACACAGGAGAACGUGAGCUGAAGGCUCCCUAUGGCAGAGAAGGGAAAAUUAAAUGAAGGUCUCCUUGAUCCUGAGGACAUCAGCUCAGUGAGCAUUGAUGGGAACACCAUGCUGUUUGUGAUUCUCCACCCCUAGUCAAAAAAAACUUGUUCUCAGCACAGCUUUUGAAAGAACCUGGCACCUUUGCAUUCUGGACAAUGGAUGGAGGUAACAAGACGGAGCAUAAGCAUUAUCUUCUGUCAGGAGCAGACUGCUGGAGCUGAUGCUGGCUGGUAAUUCAAGUUGCACUUCUGCUGUGCAACUGUAAGGUGAAGGAGACAUUGUGAAGAAACCGAAAAGAUGGGUAAAAGACACAGAAAUAUUUCCCUCUGAGAAGCUGCUUAGAGCAAGUUACAAGAAGUUGAGAAGGAAAAUGCAGUUCCCCUCCCUGAUGUGCAGCAAUCUGGUAGUCUCUACUAAUAACCAGGAGCAUGAGUUCAUCAAGAUGUUGUUUUCUGGAUUUAAAUCAAGAACAUCAUUGAAAUCUGCUUUUGCUGUCAGACAUGAGCUAUCCCUUAGGAGGUAGGGACAGGGCACCACCUGGAAUAUCCAAGUAGGAUCAUGCUGGUCAUGAUGGAAAAUUGGUGUAAUGUCACAAUGGAGCUGCAAAGCUACUCGAGGCAUCCAUGAGACCUCAGGGUGGAACUGAUAGGAGCUCCCAUUUUGUUAGACCUGGAGUAUUCCAAACCUGUCCACCAUGGGAGAGUUCUGCUCAUGUUGGAUAGCUAUCAAAGUCCAUUUGUCUCUCUCCUACAGGCAAGGAGCUGAAGCAGUAGCUGGCAUAGGUCAAGAUGGUGCUGCUGAAUCAGUUGCUGCUGAGGGAAAAUAACAUGGUUCCCACUGUGUGUGCUAUCUAUGUCUUGGGAUACUUCUGUGAAGGAGAAAAGUUGUGAAUCUCCAGGUACUUCUGAUCAUUUCACAAGUGCAUGUCCUUUAAGGUGAAGAGGGACCAUUAGUCUCUGACCAUGCUUCAAGUGGGUCACAGAGUCUCAUGAAGUUACCGGUGCAACAAGGCAUAUAACUUGCAAGUUAGGAAUAAGACAAAACAAGUCAGCUAGAAUGAAAGCCCUGGGGUGUUACUGCUGCUGCAUCCAUGGAGGGCAGAGGAAUGUGCUCAGAGACUGCCCAGCCAGCACUGGCCAUGCGCUUGCUUCUCUUCUGGCCCAGGCAAAGGUCCUGGCCAUCCUCUUUAAAGUAUCCCUAAGUAUGAGAGGAGCAGUGCUGCCAGGAAUAUUUGCUUGUGAAGCGGUUAUAAAGUGGAAAAUGUUAUCUUAAUGAGCUCUUUCAGUCACCAAAUGCUAGUAAAGCGGAAUCUUUCAGUCACCAAAUGCUAGUAAAGCAGAAUCUUUCAAUUUUGUUCUUUUUUUUCCCCCUUGGUUCUACAUGGUUUACAAGCUUAGGAUAACUGAAGAAUACAACUUGCCUUUAGAGAAACCUCUUCCCACCGUUGACAAUUCAAAAUGUUAGACUUAUUCAAAAUGACAUUUGCAUGUCUAAGUGGAUAGAUCACUUUCAGUGUGAGAGUUACAAAGUCUGCUCUCAUCUGUCACUGAGUUUAUGGAAGUGCAUCUUCUCAGAACAAGCUUCUCUUUUUCUUUCUUUAAGUUCUUACACACAAACUUCACUAACUCCCGUUACAAAAUUAAAACUGUGCUGACACGCAGUUUUUUGUAGUCUUUUGAGUGGUUUAUUGUGUAAUGGCUGAUUUGUUCCAGAUUCCACUUCAAGACUACGUUAACAACAGGGUCAUCCAGAAUGUUCCCCCUUUCUGCUAUUUCAAGAAUUGCAAGUAUUCUUUGUGUUCUAUCAUGCAAAUGUAAAUACGAUCCCCUGGCCUUUGUGAAGCUAAACUGUAAAUGAAACAAUUGGCAAUUUCCUGCAUCUUAGGGCAAUCUGACUGCUCUGCAGCCCAACCCGCAGGCAGCCCAGCCCCUGCUGUCAUCGCCGAACAGACGAGGAAGGGAGACAUCUAAAGGCAUCCCCGGGAAGUUCACUCUCCUCCUGCACGCGCCGACCUCGGAUUUCGACCACCGGUUUGAUAGAGGCAAGUAUCCCCGUUGUGCAAAAGUAGAUCCAGCGCAGAAACAAAUUAUUUCUGAGAAGCAUUGCGCGGAUUCCCUGCAGUCGUGUCAGAGAGGACAGUCGUGUCUCAGCUCCAGCAGCCACAUACUACAGUAUGCUGCUUGCUUCCUAGCUGCGUUUCUUGAAGAGUUUUUGAUCUGCACUUCCAUGCUUUCCCAUCGCACCCCAAGGUCACUGCUGAAAGGGAAGGUGCAGAUGGAAGCUGAGGUGUAGAGGCACCACCACUCCUACCUGACAGGGGACGUGCAGGAGCAUCAGUAACACACGCAAUAAGCAUUCCAACUUCCAGGAGGCUGCACAGCAUUCCCCACUAGGAGCAAGCAGGAAAGUGGAAAAAGUCUCCUCCACUCCAGAGCUGUCAGUGGAAAUGGCUGUCUUCCCAUCAGGAUAGUGCAGUACAAAGCAGAUGGUGCAUCUGGUCCCGGAUCUGGAGCUGAGGCACCCGCCUCCUUCCCCUCACCUUGUCUGAGAUCGAUGGUAGCUCCGAGGCCCAAAGUGCUCCUUUCUUUCUUUGCCAUCAUUGCCACCCAAAGUGCAGCAGGUCAGGGAGCUGCUGGAGAGGUGACGCAUCAAGGCUUGCUGCAAUGCAUUUUCUCUCUGAAUUCCCCUUUUGGAAGUAAAGCUAAUCACUUUUGGACACCACAGAGUCCCUCCUCCCCAGCACCGCUGGUGUCCAUGCCAUACGUGAGCUCUGCAUCCAUCUGCAAGGCUGCUGGGCCAGGAUUGAAAUACAAAUAUGUACAGAGAGCCAUGGCUGACCUUAGUGCAGCAAGUAAGAACUGUCAAACUGUUCUAUAUGGUGAGGGCUGGUGCCUCUAUAACGUGUGCCUGUACAGAACCAGUUCUACAUGCUAAAUGUAGUCAAAGGCUGGCAAAAAGAUGCAGCGUGCCUGCGAGGCAGCUCUCUGGGUGCAUGAUAACCAACACAGACAGGACUAUGUUAUCAUGAAAGAAAACUAUGUACAUACUUUGUAUCUGCCAUUGGAUUUUGGCCUUGCAAGAAGAACUUCCAUGUGUGCUUCGUGCCCCUUUUAGCGUUUUAUGAACCCUUUGAGUCGGUGUUUGUCUGCUGUGGUGUCCAAAGCAAAGUACAAUGUGGCUUUGCAAGAAGUCUCUAAAUAAUCAAAGGAAAAAUAUUUGUAAACACAUCUCUUGUCUGCCAUGCAGCUUCUCCCUAAUGUGACACGGAUUUUUCCCCACAGGAGGCUGCUAAAUUAUUGCUUAAUACUGAGGCAGCAUCUCACAUACUCCCUCUGGGUUGUCCUCUCACUAUAUAAAGUAGCCUUCACUUCCAGCUAGCAUGAGCCUUAACCCUCUGGGAGCCACCAGUUUCCACCCCACUUUUCGCAGGAUCAUCCUCUCUGAGAAAUACAGCCGUUUGCUACCAGCUGAGCAUGCCGUACUCCUCCACUCAGGCAGGUUUCAAGCCUCGUUGGAUCCAUAUGCUCCAAAUGAUCCUGCUGAUUUUUCUCCUGGUUUCUGCAUGGGGAUGACUUGUGACUGUCUCAUCCAUGCAAAGGCUGCCAUAUGCUCUUGGGUACCAGCAGGAGCAAGACAGGACGGAUUAUGACCUUCAGAGGACUGCAGCUGCCACCAAAGAAGUACAGGACCUAUGUGUAAGCUUUGAGUUUUCCUGUUAAGACUUGCUGUCUGACACGCCCCUUUGCACUCAGAUUUGUCAUGCAUCUUACAUAAUUACAUUGAAUAAUAUGCUUUGUGGCAAAAAAAUUCUCGAAGAUGUAUCUGUGAACAUACAUUUGUUUUUAAGGCUGUAAGGAUAUGGAAUGUGUAUUCAUUCACUGAGAUGCUCCCAAAAGAGUAGAAGGAUUAGCAAAUGAAAGUAAAAUAGAUCUGAUUUAUGCAGUAAUACAGUACAAAGACUGUGCAGGAAUAAUGCAAACAAUCAUUUUAUAUGUGUUUAUGCACAUUAACUCUCUAAGUGAUUAUACCGUCUCUAACAUCUAGGUUAUCACAGGGUUCUGUAAUGCUUCAAAGGACUAUAGCUGCAAAGAGACAAGCAUAAGUUCCAUUUUGGUAACAGCAAAUGCAUAUUUUUGCUCGCACAACCUGCCUCCUCUGUCAGCUGUACCUGCACUUCUGUCUGCUCUUUGGCUGAUAAAAUGCCACUGACGUCAACUAUAGCAAAGCUCCGUGCUUGAUAUCUGUGCAAAGAGGAAGAGGAUCAGGGCCACACACAAACAAAUGUCAGUCAUCAAGGGCUAAGUGCUCAGAGGAAAGGUAAGUGAAAGGGGCUUUGUGUAACUCUUCCGCCAUCCUCAGAGGUGACAUAAGGUUGGAUCUAGCUAAGGAAGACUGCGAGUUGCCUUCUUUUUACUUCGUGUGCUCUUGGAGGAAAUGCUUUGAAAAGGCUAAAGCCGCUGACAUUUUGGUGCUAUGAGAGGUGGAAUGUUAGCUAGAAAUUAAUGGAAACACUCCCCUAAGUGUGUGAUCCAUUAAGUUGUUUUGCAACACUGGGAAAUGAAGCAUGGAGUAUUUUACUGAAGUCAGUGUCCCAUGGGGAUGAAAGAAAGAUCAGAAUCUUUCUCUGCAAUAGGCUGAGCUCUGCCAGCAAGGAUGUAGAUAUGAAAACAGAAUAUCUCCAGUUUAGUUGAAAGAAUUGCCCUGAGUUUGAAGACUAACCCAGGGUCUGUCCC